This 102-nucleotide ribosomal RNA is filed under the name Vulpes vulpes (red fox). Lineage: Eukaryota; Metazoa; Chordata; Mammalia; Carnivora; Canidae. The record is from RNAcentral.
AUAUUUUAAAAUACAACCCUGCAUGUGCCCAUUCUCAACUGAUCUUGGAAGUUAAGCAGGGUCAACCCUGGUUAUUACUUGGAUGGGAGAAAGUGAAAUAUU